GCCAGGUGUGGUGGUGCAUGCCUGUAAUCCCAGCAGCUCAGGAGGCUAAGGCAGGAGGAUAGCGAGUUCAAAGCCAGCCUCAGCAAAAGCGAGGUGCUAAGCAACUCAGUGAGACCCUGUCUCUA
This 125-nucleotide small RNA is filed under the name Marmota monax (woodchuck). Lineage: Eukaryota; Metazoa; Chordata; Mammalia; Rodentia; Sciuridae. The record is from RNAcentral.